CCUACGGGUGGCAGCAGUGAGGAAUAUUGGUCAAUGGGCGCGAGCCUGAACCAGCCAAGUAGCGUGAAGGAUGCCUGCCCUACGGGUUGUAAACUUCUUUUAUAAAGGAAUAAAGUGAGGCACGUGUGCCGUUUUGAAUGUACUUGAUGAAUAAGGAUCGGCUAACUCCGUGCCAGCAGCCGCGGUUAUACGGAGGAUCCGAGCGUUAUCCGGAUUUAUUGGGUUUAAAGGGAGCGUAGACGGGUUGGUAAGUAAGUUGUGAAAUUUUGCGGCUCAACCGUAGAAUUGCAGUUGAGACUGGCAGCCUUGAGUGCAGUUGGGGUAGGCGGAAUUCGUGGUGUAGCGGUGAAAUGCUUAGAUAUCACGAAGAACACCGAUUGCGAAGGCAGCCUACUGGGCUGCCACUGACGUUGAUGCUCGAAAGUGUGGGUAUCAAACAGGAUUAGAUACCCCUGUAGUC
RNAcentral lists this ribosomal RNA (460 nucleotides) under uncultured bacterium. RNAcentral's name for it is "partial 16S ribosomal RNA". It matches the Rfam family "Bacterial small subunit ribosomal RNA", at positions 338 to 795 of the family's 1533-position model. The record is from RNAcentral.